UACGGAGGGAGCUAGCGUUGUCCGGAAUUACUGGGCGUAAAGGGCGCGUAGGCGGCUUGGUAAGUCGGGGGUGAAAGUCAGCGGCUCAACCGCUGGACUGCCUUCGAGACUGCCUGGCUUGAGCAUGGUAGAGGCUGGCGGAAUUCCCGGUGUAGCGGUGGAAUGCGUAGAGAUCGGGAAGAACAUCGGUGGCGAAGGCGGCCAGCUGGGCCAUUGCUGACGCUGAUGCGCGACAGCGUGGGGAGCAAACAGG
RNAcentral lists this ribosomal RNA (253 nucleotides) under uncultured bacterium. RNAcentral's name for it is "partial 16S ribosomal RNA". It matches the Rfam family "Bacterial small subunit ribosomal RNA", at positions 524 to 776 of the family's 1533-position model. The record is from RNAcentral.